Molecule: ribosomal RNA, 451 nt
Filed under: uncultured bacterium
Lineage: Bacteria
Description: partial 16S ribosomal RNA
Rfam family: Bacterial small subunit ribosomal RNA
Source: RNAcentral
AAGCCAGACUCCUACGGGAGGCAGCAGUGGGGAAUAUUGCACAAUGGGGGAAACCCUGAUGCAGCGACGCCGCGUGAGCGAAGAAGUACCUCGGUAUGUAAAGCUCUAUCAGCAGGGAAGAAGGAGGACGGUUCCUGACUAAGAAGCCCCGGCUAACUACGUGCCAGCAGCCGCGGUAAUACGUAGGGGGCAAGCGUUAUCCGGAUUUACUGGGUGUAAAGGGGGCGCAGACGGCAGCGCAAGCCAGGAGUGAAAGCCCGGGGCCCAACCCCGGGACUGCUCUUGGAACUGCGCGGCUGGAGUGCAGGAGGGGCAGGCGGAAUUCCUGGUGUAGCGGUGAAAUGCGUAGAGAUCGGGAGGAACACCAGUGGCGAAGGCGGCCUACUGGGCUUUAACUGACGCUGAGGCACGAAAGCGUGGGUAGCAAACAGGAUUAGAUACCCGCGUAUGA